UACUAACGCUGGCGGCGUGCCUAAUACAUGCAAGUCGAACGCUGAAGAGGGGAGCUUGCUCUUCUUGGAUGAGUUGCGAACGGGUGAGUAACGCGUAGGUAACCUGCCUUGUAGCGGGGGAUAACUAUUGGAAACGAUAGCUAAUACCGCAUAACAAUGGAUGACACAUGUCAUUUAUUUGAAAGGGGCAAUUGCUCCACUACAAGAUGGACCUGCGUUGUAUUAGCUAGUAGGUGAGGUAAUGGCUCACCUAGGCGACGAUACAUAGCCGACCUGAGAGGGUGAUCGGCCACACUGGGACUGAGACACGGCCCAGACUCCUACGGGAGGCAGCAGUAGGGAAUCUUCGGCAAUGGGGGCAACACUGACCGAGCAACGCCGCGUGAGUGAAGAAGGUUUUCGGAUCGUAAAGCUCUGUUGUAAGUCAAGAACGGGUGUGAGAGUGGAAAGUUCACACUGUGACGGUAGCUUACCAGAAAGGGACGGCUAACUACGUG
RNAcentral lists this ribosomal RNA (497 nucleotides) under uncultured bacterium. Its description in RNAcentral is "partial 16S ribosomal RNA". It matches the Rfam family "Bacterial small subunit ribosomal RNA", at positions 29 to 507 of the family's 1533-position model. The record is from RNAcentral.